This 500-nucleotide ribosomal RNA is filed under the name uncultured bacterium. RNAcentral describes it as "partial 16S ribosomal RNA". It matches the Rfam family "Bacterial small subunit ribosomal RNA", at positions 29 to 523 of the family's 1533-position model. The record is from RNAcentral.
AUUGAACGCUGGCGGCAUGCCUUACACAUGCAAGUCGAACGGCAGCACGGGAGCAAUCCUGGUGGCGAGCGGCGAACGGGUGAGUAAUAUAUCGGAACGUGCCCAGGCGUGGGGGAUACGGGAGCGAAAGCUACGCUAAGACCGCCUACGAACUGGGGAUGAAAGCGGGGGAUCGCAAGACCUCGCGCGAUUUGAGCGGCCGAUGUCAGAUUAGGUAGUUGGUGGGGUAAAGGCUCACCAAGCCGACGAUCUGUAGCUGGUCUGAGAGGACGACCAGCCACACUGGGACUGAGACACGGCCCAGACUCCUACGGGAGGCAGCAGUGGGGAAUUUUGGACAAUGGGCGCAAGCCUGAUCCAGCAAUGCCGCGUGCAGGAUGAAGGCCUUCGGGUUGUAAACUGCUUUUGUACGGAGCGAAAAGGCUCUCUCUAAUACAGGGGGCUCAUGACGGUACCGUAAGAAUAAGCACCGGCUAACUACGUGCCAGCAGCCGCAGUAA